AGUGAACGCUGGCGGUAGGCCUAACACAUGCAAGUCGAACGGCAGCACAGUAAUAGCUUGCUCUUACGGGUGGCGAGUGGCGGACGGGUGAGGAAUACAUCGGAAUCUACUUUUUCGUGGGGGAUAACGUAGGGAAACUUACGCUAAUACCGCAUACGACCUACGGUUGAAAGCAGUGGAUCUUCGGACCUUGCGCGAUUGAAUGAGCCGAUUUCGGAUUAGCUAGUUGGCGGGGUAAAGGCCCACCAAGGCGACGAUCCGUAGCUGGUCUGAGAGGAUGAUAAGCCACACUGGAACUGAGACACGGUCCAGACUCCUACGGGAGGCAGCAGUGGGGAAUAUUGGACAAUGGGCGCAAGCCUGAUCCAGCCAUACCGCGUGGGUGAAGAAGGCCUUCGGGUUGUAAAGACCUUUUGUUGGGAAAGAAAAGCAGCAGGUUAAUACCCCGCUGUUCUGACGGUACCCAAAGAAUAAGCACCGGCUAACUUCGUG
Molecule: ribosomal RNA, 492 nt
Filed under: uncultured bacterium
Lineage: Bacteria
Description: partial 16S ribosomal RNA
Rfam family: Bacterial small subunit ribosomal RNA
Source: RNAcentral